This 378-nucleotide ribosomal RNA is filed under the name uncultured eukaryote. Its description in RNAcentral is "SSU rRNA". It matches the Rfam family "Eukaryotic small subunit ribosomal RNA", at positions 587 to 969 of the family's 1831-position model. The record is from RNAcentral.
AGCUCCAAUAGCGUAUAUUAAAGUUGUUGCGGUUAAAAAGCUCGUAGUUGGAUUUCUGCUGAAGCAAACCGGUCCGCCCUCUGGGUGAGCAUCUGGUUUUGCUUUGGCAUAUGCUUAGACUUUGCAGCUGCACUUGACUGUGUGGUGUAAAGGCUGAGCCUUUUACUUUGAGGAAAUCAGAGUGUUUCAAGCAGGCCAUCGCCUUGAAUACACUAGCAUGGAAUAAUAUGAUAUGACUGUGGUUUUAUUUUGUUGGCUUUUAGAAUUAGAGUAAUGGUUAAUAGGGAUAGUUGGGGGCAUUCAUAUUUAACUGUCAGAGGUGAAAUUCUUGGAUUUGUUAAGGAUGAACGACUGCGAAAGCAUUUGCCAAGGAUGCUU